CUGCCGGCGACCGGCGCACGGGUGAGUAACACGUAUGGAACCUGCCCUAUGCAGGGGGAUAAGCGGAAGAAAUUCCGUCUAAUACCGCGUAACAACCCGAGGAGGCAUCUCCUCGGGUUUAAAGGAAGCGAUUCCGGCUACGGAUGGUCAUGCGUCGCAUUAGCUAGUUGGCGGGGUAACGGCCCACCAAGGCGACGAUGCGUAGGGGUUCUGAGAGGAAGGUCCCCCACACUGGUACUGAGACACGGACCAGACUCCUACGGGAGGCAGCAG
RNAcentral lists this ribosomal RNA (273 nucleotides) under uncultured bacterium. Its description in RNAcentral is "partial 16S ribosomal RNA". It matches the Rfam family "Bacterial small subunit ribosomal RNA", at positions 85 to 354 of the family's 1533-position model. The record is from RNAcentral.